This 497-nucleotide ribosomal RNA is filed under the name uncultured bacterium. RNAcentral describes it as "partial 16S ribosomal RNA". It matches the Rfam family "Bacterial small subunit ribosomal RNA", at positions 28 to 507 of the family's 1533-position model. The record is from RNAcentral.
GAUGAACGCUGGCGGCGUGCCUAAUACAUGCGAGUCGAGCGAACGGACGAGAAGCUUGCUUCUCUGAUGUUAGCGGCGGACGGGUGAGUAACACGUGGAUAACCUACCUAUAAGACUGGGAUAACUUCGGGAAACCGGAGCUAAUACCGGAUAAUAUUUUGAAACGCAUGGUUCAAAAGUGAAAGACGGUCUUGCUGUCACUUAUAGAUGGAUCCGCGCUGCAUUAGCUAGUUGGUAAGGUAACGGCUUACCAAGGCAACGAUGCAUAGCCGACCUGAGAGGGUGAUCGGCCACACUGGAACUGAGACACGGUCCAGACUCCUACGGGAGGCAGCAGUAGGGAAUCUUCCGCAAUGGGCGAAAGCCUGACGGAGCAACGCCGCGUGAGUGAUGAAGGUCUUCGGAUCGUAAAACUCUGUUAUUAGGGAAGAACAUAUGUGUAAGUAACUGUGCACAUCUUGACGGUACCUAAUCAGAAAGCCACGGCUAACUACGUG